Molecule: ribosomal RNA, 2263 nt
Filed under: Conticribra weissflogii
Lineage: Eukaryota; Bacillariophyta; Thalassiosirophyceae; Thalassiosirales; Thalassiosiraceae
Description: partial Bacterial large subunit ribosomal RNA
Rfam family: Bacterial large subunit ribosomal RNA
Source: RNAcentral
UGGAUACCUAGGCACCCAGAGACGAGGAAGGGCGUGGUAAGCGACGAAAUGCUUCGGGGAGUUGAAAAUUAGCAUAGAUCCGGAGAUUCCCGAAUAGGUUAACCUUUUUCACUGCUGCUGAAUCCAUGGGCAGGCAAGAGACAACCUGGUGAACUGAAACAUCUUAGUAGCCAGAGGAAUAGAAAGCAAAAGCGAUUCCCGUAGUAGCGGCGAGCGAAAUGGGAGCAGCCUAAACCGUGAAAACGGGGUUGUGGGAGAGCACAAUAUAAGCUCUGUGCUGCUAGGCGAAGCGGUUGAGUCCUGCACCCUAGAUGGUGAGAGUCCAGUAGCCGAAAGCAUCAUUGGCUUACGCUCUAACCCGAGUAGCAUGGGGCACGUGGAAUCCCGUGUGAAUCAGCAAGGACCACCUUGCAAGGCUAAAUACUCCUGGGUGACCGAUAGCGAAGUAGUACCGUGAGGGAAAGGUGAAAAGAACCCCCAUCGGGGAGUGAAAUAGAACAUGAAACCGUAAGCUCCCAAGCAGUGGGAGGAAAAUUAUAUCUCUGACCGCGUGCCUGUUGAAGAAUGAGCCGGCGACUUAUAGUUAGUGGCAGGUUAAGGUAGUGAAUACCGAAGCCAUAGUGAAAGCGAGCCUGAAUAGGGCGUUUGUCACUAGUUAUAGACCCGAACCCGGAUGAUCUAACCAUGGUCAGGUUGAAACUUAGGUAAUACUAAGUGGAGGACCGAACCGACUGAUGUUGAAAAAUCAGCGGAUGAAUUGUGGUUAGGGGUGAAAUGCCAAUCGAAUUCGGAGCUAGCUGGUUCUCCCCGAAAUGCGUUUAGGCGCAGCGGUAGAUGUUAUAAUUUAGGGGUAAAGCACUGUUACGUAUGCGGGCUGGUAAUUCGGUACCAAAUCGUUGCAAACUAAGAAUACUAAAUGUAUAGUCUACCAGUAAGACUGUGGGGGAUAAGCUCCAUUGUCAAGAGGGAAACAGCCCAGAGCACCAGUUAAGGCCCUUAAAUAAUUACUAAGUGGUAAAGGAGGUGGGAGUGCAUAAACAAUCAGGAGGUUUGCUUAGAAGCAGCAAUCCUUUAAAGAGUGCGUAAUAGCUCACUGAUCGAGUAAACCUGCGCCGAAAAUGUAAGGGACUAAGUAAUUUGCCGAAACUGUGCGAUAUAUAUUUCUAUAUAUCGGUAGGGGAGCGUUCUGUUGUAGGUCGAAGUAUUAGCGUAAGCGGGUAUGGACGAAGCAGAAGUGAGAAUGUCGGCUUGAGUAACGAAAAUAUAGGUGGGAAUCCUAUACCCCGAAAACCCAAGGUUUCCUCCGGAAGGCUCGUCCGCGGAGGGUAAGUCAGGACCUAAGGCGAGGCUGAAAAGCGUAGUCGAUGGACAACGGGUUAAUAUUCCCGUACCAUUUUUUACUGAUAUCGAGGGACGGAGAAGGCUAAGCUAGCCGGAUAUUGGUUUUACCGGUUUAAACGUUCGAGAUGUUGAGAAGCGGAGAAAACGCUUUGAGUUGAGACGUGAAUACGAGACGCUAAGGCGUCGAAGUAGUGUAUGUCAUACUUCCAAGAAAAGCUUGCACUGUCAUAAGUAAAAAAUGCCUGUACCAUAACCGACACAGGUGGGUAGGUAGAGUAUACUAAGGGGCGCGAGAUAACUCUCUCUAAGGAACUCGGCAAAAUAACUCCGUAACUUCGGGAGAAGGAGUACCUUAUUCUAUAAGGUUGCAAUAACAAGAUCCAAGCAACUGUUUAUCAAAAACACAGGUCUCCGCUAAGUCGUAAGACGAUGUAUGGGGGCUGACGCCUGCCCAGUGCCAGAAGGUUAAAGAAGUCGGUUAGCAUUAGCGAAGCUGGUAACUGAAGCCCUGGUGAACGGCGGCCGUAACUAUAACGGUCCUAAGGUAGCGAAAUUCCUUGUCGGGUAAGUUCCGACCCGCACGAAAGGCGUAACGAUCUGGGCACUGUCUCGGAGAGAGACUCGGUGAAAUAGACAUGUCUGUGAAGAUGCGGACUACCUGCACCAGGACAGAAAGACCCUAUGAAGCUUUACUGUUCCCUGGGAUUGUCUUUGGGUUCUUCUUGCGCAGCUUAGGUGGAGGGCGAAGAAGGCCCCCUUCCGGGGGGGCCUGAGCCACCAGUGAGAUACCACUCUGGAAGAGCUAGAAUUCUAACCUUGCGUCAGGACCUACGGGCCAAGGGACAGUCUCAGGUAGACAGUUUCUAUGGGGCGUAGGCCUCCCAAAAGGUAACGGAGGCGUGCAAAGGUUUCCUCUGAACGG